Phrynosoma platyrhinos (Desert horned lizard) is the source of this 71-nucleotide non-coding RNA. Lineage: Eukaryota; Metazoa; Chordata; Lepidosauria; Squamata; Phrynosomatidae. The record is from the annotation of a GenBank genome assembly.
GCCAGUGUAGCGUAGUGGUUUGAGUGUCGGACGAUGACUCUGGAGACCAGGGUUUGAAUCUCUGCCUGGCC